Molecule: ribosomal RNA, 164 nt
Filed under: Weberbauera herzogii
Lineage: Eukaryota; Viridiplantae; Streptophyta; Magnoliopsida; Brassicales; Brassicaceae
Description: 5.8S ribosomal RNA
Rfam family: 5.8S ribosomal RNA
About the family: 5.8S ribosomal RNA (5.8S rRNA) is a component of the large subunit of the eukaryotic ribosome.
Source: RNAcentral
AACGACUCUCGGCAACGGAUAUCUCGGCUCUCGCAUCGAUGAAGAAAGUAGCGAAAUGGGAUACUUGGUGUGAAUUGCAGAAUCCCGUGAACCAUCGAGUCUUUGAACGCAAGUUGCGCCGCAAGCCUUCUGGCCGAGGGCACCUCUGCGUGGGUGUCACAAAU